This 55-nucleotide transfer RNA is filed under the name Ovis aries (sheep). It matches the Rfam family "tRNA", at positions 10 to 63 of the family's 71-position model. From Rfam's summary of the family: Transfer RNA (tRNA) molecules are approximately 80 nucleotides in length. Their secondary structure includes four short double-helical elements and three loops (D, anti-codon, and T loops). The record is from Rfam by way of RNAcentral. Lineage: Eukaryota; Metazoa; Chordata; Mammalia; Artiodactyla; Bovidae.
GCUCAGACGGUAAAGCAUCUGCCUACAAUGCAGGAGACCCGGGUUCGAUCCCUGG